GUAAGGAAUAUUGGUCAAUGGGGGCAACCCUGAACCAGCCAUGCCGCGUGAAGGAUGAAGGCGUUAUGCGUUGUAAACUUCUUUUGUAUGGGAAGAAUGACAGGGAUUUAUCCUUGGAGAGACGGUACCAUACGAAUAAGCACCGGCUAACUCCGUGCCAGCAGCCGCGGUAAUACGGAGGGUGCAAGCGUUAUCCGGAAUCACUGGGUUUAAAGGGUACGUAGGCGGUUAAUUAAGUCAGUAGUGAAAGACUGUCGCUCAACGACGGAUGUGCUAUUGAUACUGGUUAACUUGAAUCAGGUUAGAGUUGGCGGAAUGGGUCAUGUAGCGGUGAAAUGCAUAGAUAUCACGCAGAACUCCGAUUGCGAAGGCAGCUUACUAAGCUACAACUGACACUGAAGCACGAAAGCGUGGGGAUCAAACAGGAUUAGAAACCCCUGUAGUCC
Molecule: ribosomal RNA, 446 nt
Filed under: uncultured bacterium
Lineage: Bacteria
Description: partial 16S ribosomal RNA
Rfam family: Bacterial small subunit ribosomal RNA
Source: RNAcentral